Molecule: ribosomal RNA, 253 nt
Filed under: uncultured bacterium
Lineage: Bacteria
Description: partial 16S ribosomal RNA
Rfam family: Bacterial small subunit ribosomal RNA
Source: RNAcentral
UACAGAGGUCUCGAGCGUUAGGCGGAAUCACUGGGCUUAAAGCGUGUGUAGGUGGAUGCCUAAGUACCUUGUGAAAUCCCACAGCUUAACUGUGGAACUGCUUGGUAUACUGGGUGUCUUGAGUCACUCAGGGGCGAGCGGAACAAAUGGUGGAGCGGUGAAAUGCGUAGAUAUCAUUUGGAACGCCAAUGGUGAAAACAGCUCGCUGGGGGUGUACUGACACUGAGACACGAAAGCCAGGGGAGCGAACGGG